GCCCUGAAAGCCAUAAAGCCUAGCUAUUCUUAUUGAAGAGUCGAUGAAAGAUUUUCUGUGAGAAGGAUUUCUCACCAUUGAAGAAUAAAUAGAAUAGUUUGUAUCCUUUCCUUGUCCAAUGGAGAGAAGUAUAGUGAUUGAUGGGUUCUUUUUUUUCACGGUGUCUGCGAAUUUGGCGAUUUGAUUUUCAUCGGAUGGUAAUGAUAAAGAUAGCUGGUAAGUGGUGGAAUUGAUAUCAGCAGAAGAGCAAAUAAGGUGAGUGAAGAGAUCAUAAUUUAUGCCCGAAAUGGUGGACACGUCGCUUAGAUCCAAGUGACCGACCCUAAUCCACGGUUUUGCUUUCGCGGGAUGAAGUUCUGAAUAGCAACGUGUGGAAGAUGAUGCUGAUAAUUAUGGAUGCCAUUUGAGACUUUGUUAGGAAUGGAAAUGGAUCCGCAGAAGAGAAAUUAGAUAAACACUAGUUUCACAGUUCAUUUAAGUUCUUAUGUAAACUAUUAACGUAGAGGUUCAUUUCGUUCAGAAAAAAAUCUUAUGCGCUCCUGGAUAGGCACAUACAUUGCAUGUUAAGAUGAUGAUAGGCGAUGCGACCAUUGCCUAAGAACUAAGAUUUUCUUCCGUCGCUUGGGUUGGCUGACUUUCCAUGAAGAAAAAUGAUGUUUUGAUUGACAUUUGGUUUAACUGAUGACAAAUUUCAGGCUAUAAAUAUCAGUAUUGUUUUAUUAAAUAAUAAAAUAUAAUAAUUUUACAUGUACGUUGAAAGUUAAUAACUUAAUAUUGCAGUCUUUUGAGACUGUGUUGACGUUUAUUCGGGUGCAUUCGUUUAUUAUAUAUUCCCGUUUUUCUCCCUGUGUGUUUGCUACAGUGCUCUUAAAAGAAUAACAUGUUUUUUUUCGACAAUAAAAGAAUAACAUGUUUAAAGCAUGUAAAUGCACCUCAGAAGUAGUUAAGAAAGACUUGAUAAAAAACCAGACAUUUUCUCUCUACUCAAAAAGUAGUUAAGACUGUAUGAACCAAUUAAAACGUCAGAUUCAUACUAUAACUAUGAUGAUUCAAUAAGACCUUCAAACUAAAUCCACAGAUUCCAUGAGUAAGAAACAAUGGAUCACAUUUUUUUAAGUUUAUGCUUUGAGUAAAAUAAAAGUAGAAACAUGAAUUUGAAAGAAGCAAUUUAGUUAUAAAAAAUUGUCAAGUAAUUAAUUGUUUGGCAUUUAUUUUAUGGGUCCCAACCCAUGUGAUCCGUAAAAUGAGACACCUUAUGUGAUUGGGUGCGCCAUGGUGCGCUAACCUCAUAUAAGCUUCUCUCUUCUUACGGAUAUAACUGUAUAUGGGUGGCAUUAUGUAGUGCCCCACAUGGGCUCUUUAAAAUUAUUUUAUGUGCAUUUUAAACAUUCCCUCGUUAUUGAUUUGAAACACUAAAAAUGCCUCUCUUAAAUUUUAAAAAUAUAUAAAAAAAAUUGCGUGUUUAAAGAAUGCUUGAUGUCUCUAGCCUAACAGUUAGCACACCUAUUGUAUACACUUUUACUUUUUUCUUCUCUAAACUUUCACUCCUCUUUUCUCUGAUUCUUCACACUUCACUGAUCUUUUAUCUCUAAAAAAAUUAAACUGUCUCUAGAAGCUUAUUACUAAUUUUCUGAUCUAAUUAUUUACAUAAGUAUUCUUGAUUGAUUAUCACUUCUUUAAUUUUUUGAGGGGGAUUUCUCUUGGAUGAAAGAAUUAAGGUUAUGUUCUAAGAAAAUUUUAACUCCCAUGUUAUAGUUUUGAUAAUGAGAUUAUCCUUAAAUUUUCAAUAUAUGAAAAUACUUCGAAACAACUAUUAAUUCGUUGAAUGAAACAUCCUAAUGAACUUAGAUUUUGGUACUUAUUAUUUAUUGAACUUUUUCUUUUAAAUUACAUUACUAUUUGAAGUGUGGCGGUAUAUGGUCUCUAGUCCAAAUGACGAAAUCAAAUCACCAUGUGCAUUAGUGUUUUGUUUGUGUGGUUGGAGGGGGGGGGGGGGGGGCGGUGUUUUUUAUUGGUGCAGGAAGAAAGCUCUUCAGGACUACUCGGAAAAAUAUAUAUAUAUAUAUGAGCAACACAUAGUCCAUUUCGCAUUGCAUAGAAGUAAAACCGAAGCAUUACACAAAAAGCACACGUUAUUUAUAUUUUUAGUUAUUGAUAAGAAAAUUUUUUCCCUCUUAUUAUCAUCUUAAUUAAGAAAAAUAGUAAUUCGUUUAACUGUUUGCGAAAAAUGAUGGCAAUAUACAAUAAUAUUGUGUUGAUGACCUUGAAAGCUAAUUCUUUUGAAACAGGAAAACUGGUAUCGUAUUCAAAACACAUAAAAGACGUAUCCAAGCUUUUAAUGUGAUCUAAAGAUCUCAUAGCUACAUUCGAAAUUAAUAAAUGAUCCCUAAGAGUUACGAAACUGAUAUCAAUGAAAUUACAAACUCUUAAGAGUUUAUAGAACAUUAAUUGAUCCAAAUCCAAUACAAACUGCUUACUAGUACAGCCUCAAGAGAGCCAUUUAUUUUUCAGUAGGCAAAUUAAGCAACUGCAGCAGUCACUAGCAGCUUGCCAAGAGCUAGCAUAGAUCAAUUGUUCAUCUUCAUAAGCUUUCUUUGAGAAAGUUUCAAGCUUCUUUGGAGUCAUUAUAUCGGCUGUGUUCUCGUUUUUGAGCAUCGAAUAAACUUCCAGCAUAGAAGGUCUACCGUUUGGGUUCUCCUGAACACAUAACAAAGCUAUUUGCAGACAUGUCAAUAAUUUCCAUGAGGAAUGCGCAUCAUCUAGUGAUGGAUCCAUUAACUUUAUGCCUUUCCCAUCCUUCCACAACUUGUAGGACUGAAAACAUCAAAUAUGUUAUUGAGUUACAUUCAAUUAAAUAGCACUAUAAAGUUUUGACCAAUUGUGCAUUAUAAAGGGGGUUAUACAGAAACUUACAUAGUGUACAAGGCUUAAAUUUUCAUUAUGACCAUAUUAAAUAAAAAAUCUCCUUCCAUUUAUAAUUUGCAAAAGUAAAAUCUCAAAACUGUAGACAUCAUAUUUAGUAGAGUAGAUGCCUCUUCUACAUACCCAGGAGGGAUGUAGCCAUUGUGGUACCGAUUAAUUACAAACGUCAUUGAAAUUGUUUGACCUAAAAGAUUAAGUUGAUUGGUAAAUGUUUAACAAUAGUAUUAAAGAUAAGUCGAAGAAAAUAGACAUAUAUAUACUUACUGUGUUCCAACAAUUCGAUUUGUGUUUGCUUCAAGAUCAUCUUUCACAAAAAUUCUAACGAAGUCAAAAUCUGAUAUUUUUGGUUUCAAAUCUUCAUCCAACAAAAUGUUACUAGCUUUCAAGUCUUAAUGAAUAACUAUUAAUCUAGAAUAUUCUUGAAGAUAGAAAAGCCCUUGAGUAAUUCCUUAAAUGAUAUGAAUGCAUUUUUUCCAAUCCAAAAUAAACCUUCGGAUGGGAUCUACAUCAAAUAUAAGUAUAGUUGGACGGUCUGUAGCAUUAGCAUUUAGAAAUGAGAAAUGCAAAUAAAGGAUUUCGUAAAUGAAGAAUUGCUCGCUGGAAGAAUAAGUUGAAUAAUCUGCAUUUCCUCCUCCGAUGGAAAGAAGGGUAGUGAUUGUUAGGUUCUUUGUUUUCAUAGUGUGUGUGAAGUUGAAGAAUUGUUCCUCAUCAGAAGAUGACAAAGAAAGUUUGUAGGACGUUGGAUCGACAUAAGCGAAACCACAAAUAAGGUGAGUGAAGAGAGCACAUUAUUUAUAUCUAAAAUGGGGAAGCCAGGCCUGGUUCCCAAAUACUAGCUCUGAUUAAAGUUUUUGCUUUUGCAGGAAGCGAUUCUGAAAAUAUAAAAAUCUGGAGGACCUAAGUGACAAAUUUGGAUGCCAUUUUGGAAAGCCAGCUGCCUGAAACAUGCCCAGUCUGUAUGUGUUUUUAUACACACACACAGAAAUUAUCCUAUAUUGACCGAGAUUAGUUAUGGUCCUAAAUAAUAUAUGUUUUAAGCAACCCUUAACCCAUGAGUUAAAGUUUAUAAACAGUAUCAGAGUCAGGUUAUGGACAAAUGCGCUUAUAUUACCAGACUAAAAUAUCAGCGUGCAUUUGAUGGAAUGAUAGGAAAAAUAUCCCACCUUAGUUAAGAUUAGUUACUAAGUUAAUAAUAUAAGAUUAAGGCAAUCUUCCACUCAUAUAACGCAAGAGUAUGAAUCACAAUUUAAUAAAACUAGGUCAAUUCGAUUUUUUAUAAAGAUAUAUGAGCUACAACUUGAGGUCGCUCACGAGUGGGGACGAGUUAGAUUAAGGCAAUCUUCAACUCAUAUAAUGUUGAUCAUGGACCGAAUCAACAUAGGAAACAAAAGUCGAGGAAGUUGAAUCUCCUUGCCUUCAAGUUGCAUGGAUGGGAGUCAUACAACGAAAAGGUUGUCUUCGUUCAAUGACGAUCGGCUUGAAGUUCUUAAAUUAAGCUACGGCGUUUGCCUCCACUUAGCUUGACUUCUGAAGCUGGAGACUCUUCCUUUUGUAUUGGCUUCGUUGGUACUUAAAUUACCUCGGAGUCUCGGAUGUGUUUCUGAAGCCAUGUCAUUGUCUACGAGUAGAAUUUUUUUUUUUUUUUUUUUUUUUGGGGGGAAGAAAGAGGAAGUCUAUCGGAAAAGUAGUAAAAUGAUAUUUUUUGUAAAGAUAUAGUAGGAAAAUGAUAGGGAGCAAUACUUCUUGUAGUCAUUUGAUAUUUGUCAAAUUUUAAAGUAGUGAAAUGAUAAUAACCCAAAAAAAAAAACAAAACGUUUUUCAAUCAAAAACAAAAAUAAAGAAAUAAAUAGACAAUCCCAUGUAUAAAAAGCUAACCGGGAAUGGUGAAGACGACACUGACAUCCUCCGUUUCUCUAUUAAGCUACUUCAAGUGUUUAAGGUUUUUGAUAAUUAUAGAAAUUAAGAAAUAACAUGAAGAAGAAUGAUCAAUUAGGGGAAGUGAUUGAAGUUGAUGUGGGUUUGGACGGUGGAUGAUGAAAGCUGACUUUGUUUUGUUAUGUAAAAUCAACGGUGCCCAAAAGGCUGUUCUGACGCAGAUGCUUCACUUCCUUGCAUACUGCUGUAGAAAAAAAUGGUUUUUUUCUAUCUAAAGGUUAAUAGUUUAGUUUGGUGAAAAAGAAUUUUAAGUACAGUAAAAUUUUUAUAAAUUAAUAAUUUUCUAUCAUAUAAAAUUUAUUAAUUUAAAAGAAGUAUUAAUUAAUCUAUAUUAAUAAUUUAUCAAUUUAUAAAGUGUAUAUACAAUUCGAUAAACAUACAUUUUAAUCAAUUAAAAUUCAUUGUAUUUUACCAAUCUAAUAAAUUAAAAAUGAAUUAAUCUACUAAAUAUAAAUUAAAUUAAUAAAAAAAUUUAUAAUUCUUACAAUUUCAAAAUUCAACCCUUAAACUUCUAGAAGUGAUACGCAUAGCAUUACUCAAUUUAAAUUCAACCCUUAAAAUCAUGGCAAGAGAAUAGUGAAGAAAAAAGAAAAGAAAAGGAAAAAACAAACUCACAAACACUUAGUUAUCGACCUCUAUGGCCUAUGCCACUGGCCUGUAGAACUAACUCCCUCAGAAAUGAUUUCAAGUUCCUGUAAUUUUCUGUAUAAAAUGAGAGCAUUUUCCUCUUUAAAGCAGGGGCAGUAACAGUGUCACAAUAGAAAGCAUUCUGAUGGUAAGAUUAAGUAGUAUUGUGAUUUUAAUUGGGGGGAAAAUGUCCCAUACGCUUAUUUCCUUAUGUGAUUUAGAUUCAAGUCAAGACGACCCUCCAUUUUAGUAUAAAAGUCUAUACAAAUGUACGUUUUACUCAAUGUUUACGUAGAAACAAAUGAUUUGCUGAUUUAGUACCACUCUUGUUUACUGGGUGGGAUUUGGCUCCUCCAAAUUUGUAGCCAAUAUUUUACUUUGAUGAGAAAAUCAAAUAACGUUUCAACAAAUAAUUUUUCUUUUCUACGUACUUUCUUAAAACGUAUGGAGUGAGUAAAGUACAAAUUGAUUUUUUAGCCCUUUGACUCUUCCAUAUUCAAACUCAAAUUAGUGGUCUGUUAAAUAUUGCUACUUAAAAUCAUUCAGCCAAAUAUUGUAAAAACUAUAAUUUCACAAAGUCAAAGUUUCAUUGAUUAUUGAAUUGUAGAGUGUGCUAUCAUUUCCUAGCUAAAAAUUUGUUUAGUUCUAUUAAGUUUCAAUCAUUUUUUAUUUUAUUUAAUUAAUUAAAGUGAAUUUAUUAUGUAUAAAUGCUAUUUAUGUGAAAUUUUAAAAUCCAGUGCUAAAUUGAAUUGUACUAAAUUUUUAUAAUUUUUUGUCACACCUGCAUUUCUAACAGUUUAGUAUAAAUAUUGAGAGCAAAUAGUAUAUAGGAUUAAAAGAGAUUGAUUUCGAGUGCUACAAGAUUUUUAGGAUUGCAUGCGCAAGGGUUUAAAAACAAAGUGUGCAUUUAAUUACACUAAACGUAGGUGCAUUUUUAUGAUGAAAUAAAAACUGGUUGUAUAAAUGGCUCCAUAAUUAGUGUACUUAAUAUCCAUCUAGCUAUCACUUCCGAAAAUGAUAUCAGAAGCCGAACACAUUUCCAACUGUAUUUUAGAUAAUAGUUCAAUCCCAAUUUCGUCAACUUGUUUUGAGAAAGCAGGCUUCUUGGGAGAAUUUAUAUUUCGUCAACUUGUUUCGUCAAUUUGUGCAUAUAAAUGUCUAUCAUUUGGAUUCUCCUGGACACACAACAAAGCUAUAUCCAGACGUCUCAUUAAUUUACAAGUGAAAUUUGUAUAAUCUCGUGAUGAAUCCACAAACUCCAUAUAUAUUUUUUUUUUUACCACGAGGUAUCAUGGGGAGGGCCCCAACUGUGGGAGGCACCUUUAAGUCCGUACCACAACUCAGACUAGAAGUCCCCGCUCGAACCGAGAGGCACAGGUUCUCCCAACAAAGGCGACUUCCCUACGACUUGAACUGGGGAGCAAACCCAGUCAAGCCAUUUAAGGGGACUCCAUUGCCAGUGGAGCCAACACUUUGUUGGUUAAACUGGAUAUUUUAUCUUGCUACAAACUCCAUAUUUUCACAACUCAUAUGCCUGAAAUUAUCAAGUAUUAUCUUGCUACAUAUUUUAUACUACUUAGUUAAGUGCAUAUAUAUAUAUAUAUAGACACAUACACACACACACACUAAAGGUUACUAUAGCCAAAGAAAUUUACAUGCUCUAGAAGACUUAAAUUUCCAUCGAUGCCACAUAGGCACAUAACAUAAAAAGACUUUUCCCAGUUAUCAUUCGUAAAAGUAAGACUUCAAAACUAAAAAUGUUUGAUUCGGUAGAGUAAACAUCUCUAUGAGUGUAUUUAGGAGGAAUAUAACCUCUACAUUUGAAAAUAACCAACACUCACUACUACAAAAAUGACUUUUACUGACACUUUGUUUCUGACACUUUGAAAAAAGUGUCAGUAAUUACCUAACUAUGCACAAUUUUCCGCUUUUAACAAAUAAAUGUCACAAAUUAUUAAUACUAAUGUAUCAGUAAAUUAAAUAUUAGAGAUCACUGAUACUUCAGCAUCAGAGAUCUAAAAAGAAUCAUUAAAAUUUGUUUUGAUUUUAACUCGAACCUGGGAUUUCUAAAACUCAAAACUUUUACGUUUAGAUUGCAAACCACUGGACCCCAUAAAAUUGAGUUGGAAUUACAAUGUUAUAUAAAAUAUUAACAUAUAAAAAACCAAACCCUAAUUCCCCUUUUCCAUUGUGCAAUAGAGCCCAUGCCGCAGCUGCUGCGUAAUUUCCUUGCCUUUCUUGACUUCUUCUUCUCUAUCGUGAAAGAUGGAGAAUGACCAGGCCCAAACGCCCACGCCCACAGCCGCGCCCAACCCCCACGGCUGCGCCCACCCCCACGCCGUUGCCACUAUCACUUCCGUUCAAGUGGUUCGACACUGCAGGUACUAAAUUAAGAAUUUAAAACAUGUAAAACGAAAGUAAAACAUAUCCCAAACUUAGCAAUUGUCCCCAUCUCCCUGUCUUUUAUACACACAAAUCUCUAACCCAAACUCAAACCCAAAACUGUCUCUUGCCUUUCUCUUUCUCUUUCCUUUUUCUCUUCUCGAUCUCUUCCUUUUUUUUCUGUCCAUUCACAAACUCGUUCAUUUAACUUAAAUAGAUAAUAUAAAGCUAAAACCCUAAGUGAGGCUUUUAUUCCCUUUUUCCUUUUUUUUCCCAAAUUGAAAAACGGACCAAAACCGUAAUCGAGGCUUCUUUUAUCAAUUUUUUUUCUUUUUAUGGUCAAAUUUCACUUUUUUUUUGUUCAAUAUUCAAAACCCAUUUGCUUGAAUUUGAAUAAAAUUAUUGAGAAAUUAGUUAAUUUUCUUGCUAUGGAAGGGAUACCACACCUUAUACGUAGACCUGUGAAGGAGAUUUUCAAUGACUUUAAGGGCAAACAGGUUGCCUUGAUUAAGGCUUUAACUGCUGGUAAUGGCUUAAUAUUUUAUUUUCUUUGUCAAAUUAAUUAAUAAUUUUUUUUUAUUUUAGCUUAUCAUUAUUAGGGUUUUUUGUUAAUUUUAAUUUUCUGGGUUGUUGCAGAUGUUGAGAAAUUCUGCCAGUGGUGCAGUCUUGGUGGGAUUUCUUUUCCAUAUCUAUUUUUUGUUUAUUUAAUUGUAAUUUGAAUUUUUUUCUUUUUUUUCCUAUAUUUCUAUAUUAUAUAGAUUGAAUGGCUGUGUAUUUCAUAAUUAUUAAGUGUUAUUUAUUGCUCUGUUUCAUGUAAAGAUAGGCAAAUUAUGUUAUAGAAACCAACAUGUUUAUUUUUUUAUUUUUUUUAGUUGGAAGAUUUUUAAUAGAGACAAUGACUAUGAUAUGAAUUAACUAAGUUCAUGAUUUGUCUUUAAUUCAAGAAGAAAAUGCUUGUUUUUAGGUAGUUUUGCUUGUUGUAGCACUUGAAGACUUACAUUUUCUUUGUUCAUUUGCACGGUUAGUUUCGCUCUUAUUCAGAAAUUUCUGUGUUUCCUCACUUGCAUGGUCAUUAAUUCAUUCCAUGAUUUUUCUUCUGUAAACACACUUUUAUUUUCCUUUCACUAGUUUGAAGGAAUUUAUUUUUUUAAAAUAAAAAAUUCUAAAGAUUGAAAUGAAUUGAAAUUGUUGCUAUAAUGUACUUUCUUUGCUGCUGAAGUUCAAGGAAUGUCUAUUUAAAUGAACUAGAACUUGAAAAAUCUUGAAGUGUUGUUGUACCCAUAGACUUCAUUUUUUUUCCUGCACAUUACACUUAUUUUGUUCAUCUUCUUACCUUCAAUUUGUCGUAGAGGUUAACAAUGAUUGACGAGAAAUGGAGGUUUGCAUUUACUGCGGCUGAAUCUCAUGAACAAGAAGUUGGCAAACUGAGGUCUGUAUUUUUUCCUCAAAUUCAUAGUUGAAUUCAUAGUAAGCUCAAAGCAAUUGAUUGAGGGAGAAAAUAAAUUGAGUUUUAUUUAUUAGUAUAAUUUUUGUUAUUUAGUGCUUUACACUCUUCAUGACAACUUCUGCGAUCUUGUCCUAUUACCUUAAGGUACUACUGGAUAUUUGAGAAAAAAUUAAAAAUUAUUAAGAUUAUCUUUCUUUGAUGAUAGAAUUACAAUAUGUCUUCUCACUUAUUAUAGUUCAUCCAAUUUUAUUUUUGUUGCACAGUCUGUGGAAAUCAGAGUACCACAUUUAAGAGUUUUUAUAAAAUGUCUCCUUUACCUUUCCUAUUAUUUAAACUAAUUUCAUGUGUAUUUCUUUAGUUAAUGAUUGAUUUUCAAGUAGUUGAAGGAAAGUAACUUGUAGAACCUCCUUCUAAAAUUGGUCUGGAACCUUUGUGUGCAAUGGUUAGUGAAAUCAUAAUCCGUGGCUUGUGUUAAUAUGCAUCGAUUGUGUGAAAACUAUUGUUUACUAUUUUCUGUGGCUGGUUAUUAACAUGAUUCACAGAUAAACAACAAUAGACUCAUACCCAUAUGCUUGCUUGUUUUCAACAAGCAUUUUUUUUUUGUAGGUUUUUUUUUUGUGCGUCUCUCUUUGAAGAAUAAUAUGAUUAUCUUACACGAAAUGGGGAAAUUCCAUUAUCUUGCUGCAAGUUUUUUCCUAGUUCUAUAGUUCUACCGUUUUGUAUCACCUUGGAUGACAUGUCGAGUGAAUCCUGGAACAUCAUUUUAUCUUGUUUGUACCUAUAAUACGUUGUGUUCAAUGUUCUUGAAAUUUUUGGGCAUGGCUGCAAACAAAUUUAGCAGUUUUUAAUAGCCAACUAUAGAGUCAAUUUAAAAUUUGUCUAGGUGGUGAGUUUCUAUGGUUUUGUAAUUGGGGUGAAAGGUAGCAAAUACUAAUCUUGUCUAAAGAGCAUUUGUGUAAGAUUACUUGUGAGUAUAGUGGGGCAGCAUAUAUUAGUAUUUUUAUGAAAUAAGCAGAAAAAGGGAUCCCUUUCUAUUGUCAGCAAUAAAAAGAAUUUUCAAAAAUGUAAACACCAAGCGUUCUAGUUGUAUUGUUAUUUGCAAAGAUCUUUUCAAUGUAUUUGUAGAUCCCAACAUACCUUGAUGCAUGAUCAAUUAGUCUGAAGAAUGUUGAGGAUUAUGUCAUUUUGAGCUGUUUAUCAGGUAGUUUGAGGUUAGAUUUGUUUUUUGGAGUAUUAGCUUGGAAUCUGAGUGCUUGCCUAAUUUGGAGAUUGGUGUGUGAUACUUCAAUAGCCUUUUUUUGUGGACUCCCUUUUGACAUUUUGUAAUUAUUGUUCUUAUUAAUACUAAUUUCUCUGUUUCCUAUAAAAAAUAAAUAAAUAAUGAAGGAUAGGUUUUUAUAUGGUAAGGAAUGAAUAAAUAUUAUAAGCAUUUAUUGGAAAAUAAAACUAUGCAGCUUAUUUAGUUGUUUUCCUAUUUAGUGAUAAAUUAAAAUUUUUGGCUUAAUUAUAUUCGGAUAUAUAAACACCAAGUUUUCAGUGUUAAGAUGGAAAACCAACGUCUUUAAAAUUUAUGAAUUGUUAAUACUGAAUCUUUUUUCAGUUUCAGUUAAAAAACAAAAAGGCCCUUCUUUUUUCUAUCUUCAAAUUUUGUGUGAUAGAAGUAUACUGUUGGGCCUUUCUUAUCAACUUUAGCUUUUGGGAUUAUUGUUGGUUUAACUUUAGAAUUAUUUGACCCAGAGAUUUUAUGUUCCAUUAAAUAAUAACACUCAAUACACUGGAUUUAGUUCAUGUUUAUUAAAUUUGGAUUUUUAUGUGAGACGGUACAAGUAUUGGGGAUUAGUGGUCUCUCAACAUUAUGAUCGAAAACCAGCCCUCACUGCCAAUUUGUAUUUUAAGCCCAAUAUUCAGUCCUUGAUCACUAUCAAACUUCCAUAAUCAUUUCUUCUUCAUAUUCUUAUAAAUCAGCCUCAAACUCUAAAGAAAAACCUAAGCCAUUCUCUGUAAGGGGUAAGCGUCUGUUCUUGUUCGGAUGAAGGUGCCAAGUUUUAUUUUGCUCUUUAACGUUAACAAGUCAAUUCCCCAUGAUGUGUUAGGUGAUUUGUUUGUUUCAUGCUGUUUAUUUCCUCGUCUUUUUUUUCUUCUAUCUACUGUUCCUUUAUGAAUUUGCCUCUAGGCAUUUUUGCAGUUGCUUACUAUGAAAUACAAUGGGCUUAUGCUAUAUUUUGUAAAAAUAACUAUGUAAUUCAAUCUCCAAAUUAGUUAAUCUUCUUAGUUGGCUUUGUCUUUGACUGUUUUUUAUAUCAAUUAAUUUGUUUCGUUGUGUACAGGUUAAUUUCUAUUGUUGGAGCCAUGAGUCUGCUGAACACAUUUUUCCUAACAGAGGUUUGGGAUAUGGACUUGCCCAAUUUUUGUCUGUUUUGUUUCUAGGUUAUUAUGUAAAAAUUUUAUAAUGGUUUGCUUUGCUUUGGGUUAUGAUGUAAAAACUUUGUAGUGGUUUGCCUCAAAUGUUUCUGUUAUUAUGUCUUUGGUCUUAUCCUAAGAUACGCUAUAUUCUUAUUCCUCAAUUUUUACCCCUGGAUUGUUUAAUGAGUUUCUAAUUUUGGAUGUAUACUAAUAAAUCUCCAUUUAUCUUUCUUAAUCCUUAGGAUUUUUUUUUUAUUUUUUUUAUUCUUCUUAAGUUGAGUUGUGUAUAGAUCUGUAGGAAAAUCCACUCAAAUUCAAUUCUUAGCAGAUAAAUAUUCCUACCUAUUACAAUUAGCUUGCACUAAGAGAGCUAUGUAUUGUUUUUGCCCCAUUCUUUGUUAGUCUCUUUGAACACUGAAAUUGGCCUGAUUGUUUUUUCUCCCAAAAAUUCAAGAAUUAUUUUUUGUGGUAUACUAAUUGAUUUUAUGUACUUGUAGGUGGGAAAAGAAAAAUGAAGCCGCUUGUGGAUGUUCAAUGACAUUAUGUGCUUCUUUUUGUUGGUUAAUAUUUGUUGAAUCUUAACAUAGUACUUGGUUGUUAAGAGCUUGUCCAAGACUUAAUUUAGUAUUUAUAUUUUUCUUUUCCAAACAAUGAUGUAGUUGAAUGAUAUGAAUUUGAGUGAUGUAUUUGAGAUGUCUCUUAUGCAAUUGUGUUGCGAGAUUUUGUAUAUUUAAUAUAUUUUGAGUUUUCUUUCAGUUGUAAAACAAAUAGGAAAAUAUAAUUAAAAUCAAAGUAUACUAUUAACCAAAAGAAUCAUAACAUCACUAAAUACUGACACUAAAUGUUUAAAAUAACAGUAAUAAUUUUUUAUGUUAUUGAGUCAGUGUGCUCUUGAUACUGUAGUCUCAUAAAUUACUGACAUAUAAAUAGUAUCAUUAAAUACUAACGCUAUCGUGUCAUUAUUUUAGUGAUACCAUAAUGACAUGAAUUACUGACACAAAAAUCGCUGACACUAAAAAUUAGUGUCAGUGUGUUCUGUCUGGAGAAUUAUUGACACAAUUAAUAAGUGUCAGGAAAAGUAAUUACUGACACUAAUUUAGCGUCAGUAAAGCCCAUUUUUCUAGUAGUGACUAUUUCAGUAUGUCUCUCUCUCUCUCUCUCUCUCUCUCUCUCUCUCUCUCUCUCUCUCUCUCUCUCUCUCUCUCUCUAUAUAUAUAUAUAUAUAUAUAUAUAUAUAUAUAUAUAUAUAUAUAUAUAUAUAUAUAUAUAUAAUCAGCUUCAGGUCUGGAAUUUAAAUUUGUAAAGAGUCUACAAUAUCGUAAAUUGCAUUCAUCACUGUUUUACAAUGGUCUAAAUUUUAUUAUAAAUGACUGUCAAAAAAUUAAUACAUGGUUAUCAUUUAUGAUUAUAAUUAGAACAUUAAAAUUCAAGUCGACUCAUUUGUCUUUACAUUGAUGUAUUCUUUGCGAUUAUACUUAGAAUGUUAAACAAUUAAGUUGAAACGACCCGCCCCAAAUCUCCAGGACAAGUCUAUCUAAUCUCGCCUAACCGAAUUAAUAAUAGUUCUAAUAUCUAAGAAUUCUACCAAAACUUCGGCAGAGUCUCUUAUAUAAUUAUUACAUCCCCAAACUUGUAAUUUAUAAAAUUAACACUCCAAAAAAUAAUACAAUAUUUAAUCAACCUCUACAACCAACUUCCUCAAUUUAAACACCAGUAUCCUUCAAACAUAUAAUGUCAAGAAUACAAUAAUUUAUCCUUAAUCGCAAAUAAGUAAUAAAUUAUACAAUUCAAAAUAUCCCAACAAAGCAUCUAUGAUUUUUAACACCAUCAUGUGGCUAUAGUUUCAAAUCUAACUAUCGUUGUUGGAUCGACUGAUGUACCUGCAAAUCUCCUAGGGAGGGGGGGAAAUAUAAUAAAAAUAUGGUGAGUAUAAAACUCAGUGAGCUCAGUGAGUGGUGGGGGUGGGCAAAAUCGGGUUCGGGUCAACGCGAUCGGGUUUCGGGUUGUUCGGGUUAGACAAGAACCAAUUCGAACAUAACCCGAAUUAUUGACCCAACCCGAACCGACCCGAACUGGAUCGGGUUGGAUUUAAAACGGGUUGGAUUGAGUUCGGGUCAAUUCGGGUUAGUUCGGGUCAGCGUGUGUGUGUGCUGUGCAGCUCGUGUGUGUUCUGUUCUGUUCUGUCAUUCUGCAUUUCUGUGUGCGUGCUGUGCAAGUGUGCAGCUUGUGACUUGUGUUGUGUGUGUGCAACAGCGUAUGUGUGUGUGGGUGCGGCUGUGUGCUUUGCAGCUUCUAACAAGUUGUGUGUGUGUGUUGUGCAGCAGCCAAGCAGCGUGUGUGUGUGUGUGUGUACAGUGUUAGCUUAGCUUAGGUUUUUUUUUUUUUUUUGAGAACCCGAUCGGGUAUUCGGAUCGGGUCGGGUUUGACCCAAACCGAUCACAACCCGAUCGGGUUUGUAAAUUUCAAACCGCUCGGGUUUCGAUCCCGACCCGAUCCGACCCGAACCCGAAAUUUAUCGGGUCGGGUCGGGUCGGAUCGGGUAAAAUGCCCACCCCUAGUGAGUGGAUAGUAGUUUAGGAAAAAUAAUUUAUUUAAAAUGAUUUAAUCUUUUCUAAAUCAAUUUCAUCAAAAUAUCAUAAGAACUUACAUAAACUUAUUUAAUUCAAAUCAUGCACUGAAAUAACAAUAUUACAUAAAUCUGCAUAAAAUCAAUGAAAUCAUAAUACUUAUUGUUAGCCUAUAUGGCUAUAAAUAUUGAUUUUGAUGAUAACAAACCACAUGUGUUAGUUAAACAAAGAUUUAUAAAUUGUGCUUUUAUAAUAAGAAAAUGAUUUUAUGGAAUUAAAGUGUUUUGGACCAAAAUAAAAGUAUUUUAUAAUCUUUGAUAUUGUUUUGAAUUUCGGAUUUGGACCUAUUUAAAUAUUUUUGGGCCAUUCUAUAAUUUCACAUAGUUUGGGCGAUAUUCUAAUUUCAAAAAUUUUUGGGAUUGACAAAGUAUUAUUUAGAAAUUCUAAAAUUGGACCUAUUUGAACACUUUCAUAACAUUUUAGGCCAUAAUAUAAUUUUAUAAAGUUUUGGGGUCGAAUUAUAAUUUUGGAAAACAUUUCACUGUAGCAAGCAGAUAUCUGGAUCCUAACAAAUGGUAGACCGGAUUUGGGCAGAAAGCUUCUGGAACUUAAACGGCUAUCCGGAUUUCACAAGCGGUAUACCAGAUGUUCAAAAAUUUAAAUUUUGGCUAUAACGGUAACAUUACGCGGCUAACCGGAUGUCCAUAAAUGGUAAGUUAGUUAUCACCUAAAUGUGCAUAACGGCUAGUUUUUGAGUUCAAACUAUAUAAACCCAAAUCCAAUUCAUUUUCAAGCUCUUUUGCAAACAAAAUCAAAAAGCACACAACAUUCAUUGAGCUCUCAUUUCGCAAAUCAUAAAACCUUGAAUCAUAUUUUGUUCUUCAAUUUGUAUAUCUACUCUUUAAGAGAGUUUUUAUUGUAAUCUUCAAUUCCUCAUCUUAAUUGUGAGUGUUUAAGUGUGUGAGACACUUGAGUGAAGAGAUUGAGAGAUAAUCUCUUUGUUGUAAAGGUUCAUUGACACCUUAAAGUCAAUUGUAACCAUUUGAAGCCUUAGAAGGCUUGCAUAGUGAAAUCAUCAAGCUUGGAUUGCUUGGAGGCGUGGACGUAGCCGGGGAUUGUCGAACCACGUAAAAAUUCGUGUGUUUGUUUCUUUUCUCCCUUACUCAUUUGUUAUUGUACUUUUAUUGAACUUAUUGCUUUCGAAUUUAUUAAGGCGUUAGAUUGGAUUGUUGUGUGGUUUUGUUAGGAUAAUUUUUAAAAAUACCAAUUCACCCCCCUCUUGGGUUGCACACUUGUAUUUCACCUAUAAUAUCAAAUACUGAAUACCAAAAACUAUCACCAAACAAGUACCCGGGGGAAUAAUCUCAUCAUAUUCGGACCUCGACGGACGGGCAAUCAGGGAACCAUCAUACCCCGGAGCUACAACGGAUAGACGGGGAAAUGUCAUCUCAUAUCUCAUGUAUCUCAACAUCUGUAUCUUUGUAAUCAUCAUACUGCAUGCAUAAGCCUCCAAAAGGAAAAAGCGCCCAAACACACAGCCAAAAGCCUCUAUGUGUGUUCAGACGGGCCUCAAAGACCUCUCAUCUCAUAUCAUCUGUAUCAUUGUGUUCAUCUUAUAUUAUCUGUAUCUCUGUGUCUUAAGGGGAAUGAUAUUGUCCAAUGAUUUUCCAAACAACCUUUUAUAAACAUGUACAUAAACAUAUAAUCACAUCUGAAAUCUCAUUUCCUUUUAUUCAACAUAUCUCAAAUCCACUCAAUUCUAAUAUCAUGCAUUUACUCAAAAAAAAAAUGAUAAUAGAAUCAUUAAUCAAACUCAUUUUCAAUACUAAUAAAUAUCAGCACGUAAAAUAAAAAUCAAUUUUCUAGAAAAUCAUUAAAUCGAAGCAUCAAAUACUUAUCAUCAAAACAUGUUGUACUGUAUAGUAAAAUCAUAGUAUACUAUGAAAAUAGGUUUUGUAUAUUCCACUCACAGUGACAAUGUCCAGACUCGGGAUCACCAACGUCCGCAGGUUAAUUCUCGCUCGCGGGUCCUCCUAAUUACAUAAACGACAUAAUUAUUAUCCAUAUCAUGAAAUACGACUAACAGUACGAAAUAAAGCUCAAAACCAAACUCCCGGAUACAUAAAAUUUCAAAAUUACCCUUAUGUCCAAAAAUUACCCAAAUGCCCCUGACACCGAAAUUUACCAAAUUACCAUCAGAAUCAUAAUUUAUCGAAUCAUCCUCAAUAUCUUAAAUUACCAAAUUGUCCUUAAUUCGGAUAACAAAAUUAAUCACAAGUUUUGAAUUUACAAAAUUACCUUCGAAGUACAAAAUUACCAAAAUGUCCUUAAUAACUUAAAUUACCGAAUUACCCUCGAAAUCUCAAAUUACUUCUCUGUCCUAAUCACAAAUUACCAAAUUAUCCACCAUUUUCAUAAAUUACAAAUUUACCCCAAAGUUUUAUGAAAUUACCGAAUUACCCUUGCCGGUCAACGGUGACCUGACUUCAGUCAAUGAUGACGGGAAGCUCAGGUCUAAUAGUUCAGACCUCGGUGAAUCCAACGAUGCUGGCGGUGACCUCCCACGCGCGGCGAUGGUGGCAGAUCGAAGCUCCAAAAUUCGUGAGUUUCCCGGUGUUCGUUCGCGGCCAAGACAGCAUCCCCGGUGAUCGUGGUCAGUUGGAAAGUGAUAAGUGUGAGUUGAGAAACAAGAUCCAGGCAGUGGCGUGGCUAAAAAUCCGACGGGAUCGACGGCGACAGAAACGGGUUGAGUCGCGGCUUUUCGAGCUUCAAACGGCGGCGUUUCGGUCGGCUUUUCUUUGAUUUGUUAUUUUGAGUUGUAUGAAAUAUAGCUUUACUUAUGUUUUUUUUUAUCAUUAAUAGGAAUUUUCUUGUUAAAACUAUAUGAAUUGAUUGAAACUUCAAAUUCAUACUACAACCAUGAUGAUUUAAUAAAACAUUCAAACUAAAUCCACAUAUUCCAUGAGUAAGAACCCUGAGAGCACAUUUAUUCAAGUUUAUGCUUUAAGUAAAAUAAAAGUAGAAAUGAGAAUUUUAAAGAAGAAAUUUAGUUAUAAAUAAUUGUCAAAUAAUUAAUUGUUCAGCAUUUAUUUUAUAGGUCCCACUGUUGGGACUCCAUGUGAUCUGCUAACUGGCAGGCCUUUUGUGGUUAGGCGAACCACAGUAUGCCUGCCCCAUAUAAGUUCCUCUCUUCUCAUAGAUAUAACUAGUGCUAUGUCAUGUCCAACAAGGGCUCUUCGAAACUUUUUAUGUGAAUUUUAAACAUUACCCCAUUACGCUUUUGAAACACCAAAACUACCUCAAAUUUUAAAAAUAUAAAAAAAAAUACAUAUUAAAAGAAUGUUUUAUGUCUUUAGCUUAACAGUUAGCACACGUAUUGUACUCUUGACAUUUUUCUUCUGUAAAUCUUCACUUCUUUUUUCUUUGAUUCUUCACACUCCACUGCUCUUUUAUCUCUAAAAAAUUAAAUUGUCCGUAGAAGCUUACUAUUUAAUUUACUGAUCUAAUUAUUUAGCUCUAAAUAUUUAGAUACGUUUUCUUAAUUAAUUAUCUCUUCUUUAAUUUUUUUGGUAAUUUCUCUUAGAUGAAAGAAUUAAGGUUAUGUCCUAGGAAAAUAUUAACUCUCAUAUUAUAGUGUUGAUAAUGAGGUUAUCCUUGAAUUUUUAACACAUGAAAACACAUCGAGGUAACUAUAAAUUCAUUGAAGGAAAUAUUUUAAUAAAUUUAGAUUUUGGUACAUAUUAUUUGUUGAAUUUUUUUUCUUUCCAAAUUGAACGUAGCCCUUAUGAUAUUCAGUUCGUGAUGGUGCCACUAAAUGUAAAGUGUCGAACUAGAUCAUAUUUCUCCCUUAUGCAAACUCCAUCGUUUAUUUAUAUUUCAAUUUUGUGGCCUAUUGUCGAGUUUUCUAGUUUCACAGAGGGCAUCUUGGAUUUCUCUACGUGGUCCAUAGUCUCUAGUCCAAAUGAAGAAAUCGAAUUCACCAUGUACAUUAGUGUUUUUUUUCUUUUUUCUUUUUGGGCGGGGGGGGAAUUUUUUUAUUGGCACAGGAAGAAAGCUCUUCGGCACUACUCGGAAGAAGAAUAUGAGCAACACAUGGUCCAAUUCGCAUUGUAUGGAAGUAAAACCGAAGCAUUAGACCAAAAGCAAACCUUAUUCAUAUUUUUAGUUACUGAUAACAAUUUCUUUCCCCUCUUAUUAUCAUCUUAAUUAAGAAAUAUAGUAAUUCGUUAACUUUUUGGGAAAUUAAAAAGGAUGGCAAUAUACAAUAUUCUUGUGUUGAUGACCUUAAAAGCUAAUUCCCUUGAAACAGGAAAACUGGUAUCGUUUUUCAAAGCACAUAAAUGAUAUAUCCCAGCUUUCAAUGUGAUCGAAAGAUUUCAUAGCCACACUCGAAAUUAAUAAAUGAUCCCUAAGAAUUCGUUAACUUCAAGAGUUUAUAGAACAUUAAUUGAUCCAAAUCCAAUACAAACUGCUUACUAGUACAGCUGCAAGAGAGCCAUUUUUUUUCAGUAGGCAUAUUAAACAACUGCAGCAGUCACUAGAAAGCUAGUAUAGACCAAUUGUUCAUCUACCAACCAAUUGUGAAAUUGUUACAUCAUUACUUGAACAUAUUUCCCAUCCAAUCGUGGCUUUAUUUUGUUCGUCUUCAUAAGCUUUGUUUAAGAAAUCGGAGUCCAUUCGAUGAGUCUAUCAGCAUUCUUUAACUAAUUAUUAGAUUAAAUGUAUAAAUUUAAAACUAGUAAAAGUUUAGACUAUGAAAGAACCUUGAUUCAUUCAAGAAAUAAUUAAAAUUUUAAUCCUUUUCAAACUGGUUAAUAUUAACCUUAUCAUUAUGCGAAAACACAAUUUAAAAGAAAAAUAAAAUAAAAUAAAAAUCUCACAAAGUUGGUGUGUGGAAUAGUCAAUACGUUGUCCUUGAUUUUUUAUUUUUUAUUUUUUACAAACCCUUAAAGAGUCUAUAGAUGUAGUUAGUGAUAUUACAUUACAUUAAUUGAUCCAAAUCCAAUACAAACUGCUUACCAGUACAGCCUCAAGAGAGUCAUUUAUUAUUCAAUUGGCAAAUUAAACAACUGCAGUAGUCACUAGCAGCUUGCCAAGAGCUAUAGCGUAGAUCAAUUGUUCAUCUACCAACCAAUUGUGAAAUUGUUACAUCAUUACUUGAACAAAUUUCCAAUCCAAUCGUGGCUUUCCUUUGUUCAUCUUCGUAAGCUUGCUUUGAGAAAGUUGCAGGCUUCUUUGGAGUCAUUAUAUCAGCCGUGCUCUCAUUUUCGAGCAUCGAAGAAACUUCCAGCAUAGAAGGUCUAUCGUCUGGGUUCUCCUGAACACACAACAGAGCUAUUUGCAGACAUGUUAGCAAUUUCCACGAGGAAUGCGUAUCAUCUAGUGAUGUAUCCAUUAACCCCAUGCCUUUCCCAUCUUUCCACAGCUCAUAAGCCUGUAAAUAUCGAAUAUGUUAUUGAGUUACAUUCAAUUAAUUAGCACUAUAAAGUUUUGAUCCAGUGUGCAUUAUAAAGGGGGUUAUGAAGAAACUUACAUACUGUACAAGGCUUAAAUUUUCAUUCUGGCCAGAUUGAACGAACAAUCUUCUUCCACUUAUAAUUUGCAAAAGUAAAACCCCAAAACUGUAGACAUCAGAUUUGGUGGAGUAGAUGCCUCUCGUCACAUACUCAGGAGGGAUAUAGCCACUGUUGUACCAAGUACUUACAAAUAUCAGUUAAAUUGUUUGACCUAAAAGGUUAAGCUGAUUGGUAAAGGCUCAACAAUAGUAUUAAAGACAAGUCGAAAAAUAGACGUAUAUACACUUACUGUGUUCCAACAAUUCGACUGGUGUUUGCUUCAAGGUCGUCUUUCACAAAAAUUCUAGCUAAGCCAAAAUCUGAUAUUUUAGGCUUCAUAUUUUCAUCCAAUAAAACAUUACUAGCUUUCAAGUCUCGAUGAAUAAUUGUUAAUCUAGAAUAUUCUUGAAGAUAAAGAAGCCCUUGAGUUAUUCCUUGAAUGAUAUGAAUGCGUUUUUUCCAAUCCAAAAUAAACCUUCGGAUGGGAUCUACAUCAAAUAUAAGUAUAGUUGGACGGUCAGUAGCACUAGCAUUUGGAGAUGAGAAAGCAAAUGGAGGCACAUAAAUUAAGAAUUAAGCAGAAGCACAUACCAAAAAGGAAAUAGUCUAAGCUUUGUUUUGGCAUGUACUCGUAGAUCAGCAUUUGUUCUUCUCUGUCAAUGCAAAAACCUAAAACCUUAAUAAGAUUUACAUGUUGGAGUUUUGCAGUAAGCAUAACCUCAUUCUUGAACUCCUCAAAUCCUUGUUUGGAUGUCUUUGAGAGUUUCUUCACUGCUAUUACCUGUCCAUCAGGUAAUACACCCUGCAAACACCCCCAAAACAUUAAAAAGGAAAAAAAAAUGCAAUGUUCAUAUACAUAUGUGUGUGUGUGUAUUUCGCUAAUUAAUUAAUAAGAUGAGAGAUAGCCAAGCUAUCGAUAUAUAACCUUGUAAACAGGGCCAUAUCCACCCUCCCCGAGCUUAUUUUCAAUUGAAAAUCUAUCCGUGGCCACCUCAAUAUCAGCCAAGCUAUAUUCUCUAAGAUCAGGAUCAUUGCUGUUAAAAUCUCCAGCAUGUGCUUGACUGUUUGCUCCGUCCUUUGAUGACUUGGCUGAGUCAAUUACUAUUCCAAUUAAUAUCAACCAAGGAAAAAAAAGAAAAAGAAAAAGAAAAAAGCUAAUUUAAGUAAAUUGCCCACUUCUUCAGCUGUGCUAAAUAGAAUAGAAGUAAAAAUAAUCCUAAACCCCUGUAGAAGAAGUUACCUUUUAAUUUGAGGUUUUUCAUCCAGCAGUAGUAAUACAGCCAAAAACCUAGUAGAAGAAUACAAGCUGCAGUGGUAGUCAAAACAACUACCCAUAACAGUCGCUUAUUUUGACCACUCUUGUCAUCCUCUUCAGCUGAAAAGUCAAUCACUUUGCGUUGGUUAACCAUUGAUGCUGAAAUAAAGAUCUUAAUUCAAGUCAUUAUCCAGAAAAGUGAUCAACGGAUUGCAGUGAGUGCGGAAUUCCAUUUGCUUACCUGCAGCUUGAGAAAGCAUCCAAUCAUGAUCAUAGGAAACUAGCCACACAUGGUAUCCGCGUAGCUUCUUCUCCUUGGCAUAUGCAACCUUCACUCUAAUGGCCUCCACAUCAUCAAAACCAAACCAAAUCUUCCCAAUCGAGCAGUAGUUCACCACAUAAGUUGAAUUGUAAAUAACUUGGACAUUAGGACCAUAUCUCUUGAUGUGAUUCUUGAUUUCCCUAUAACUCACAAGACCAUCUUCACUCAAAGCUGGUCCCGUUGCUGCUGCACCAAUACCAUUGUCCUCAGGUUUCACAAGCGUCCAUGCAUAGCCAUAGAAAGGCAAACAUAAAACCAAUUUAUCAGCCGAUAACCCUUCGUCAAUCCAUUCCGUGAUUCCGUAUUCAGUAUUAGAGACACUAUUUGGAUCAUACAGAGCCGCAUGAGCACCAGUAAAAUUUGUCCACGUAGGGACUGAGUAAUCAGUAGUGAAAACAUGGACCCAAUUCAAGUAUUGUCUUAUCGAGUCGACUGGAUAAGCUGCUGCUGGUGAGUAUGGUGAAUAUGCAACCGUUGCCGUCAAAAUCAACUGUGAUUGGCUCGAGUUAUUUCUUGCUUCUAAAGCUACGGCAGCUCGCCAUUCUUUAAAGAGAAUGCCAAUAUUGUACUUAUCCCAGCUUGUGUUUGCAAAAUACCAAGACAGAUCUAAGCCUUGAAAGCCAUAGAGCCUUGCUAUUUUUAUUGAGGAGUCAAUAAAGGAUUUCCUGGAAGAAGGAUUGCCCGCCAUGGAAGAAUAAGUUGAAUAGUUUGGAUAAUUUCCUGCUCCGAUGGAAAGAAGUGUAGUGAUUGAUGGGUUCUUUAUUUUGACUGUGUCUGUGAAGUUGGAGAAUUGUUUUUCAUCCGAAGGUAAUAAAGAAAGCUCAUAGGAAGUUGAGUUGACACCAGCAAAACCACACAUCAGGUGAGUGAAGAGAGCAGAAUUUACAUCUGAAACUGGGAACCCAUCGCGUGAAUCCCAGUAACCAGCUCUGAUUAAAGUUUGUGCUCUUGCAGGAAGCGAUUCUGAAAAUAUAAAAAUGUGGAGGACAAGAAUGAUAAUUUUGGAUGCCAUUGUGGGAACCUGGCUGCUUGAGGCAUACCUAGUAUGUGAUUAUAUAUUUGUACACACACACACAAAAUGUAAUGGAGAAAUUAUCCUAUACCGAUUGAGAUUAGUUAUUGCACUAAUAAUGCAAACUUGAGUCAACUUUCAACUUAUGAGCUUAGUCCAUAAGUUUUUAUACGAUAUCAAAUUCAAGUUAUGAAUGAGGGACCCUAUAAUACCUUCCAACCUAACUUAAUAAUUAAUCUUAGCCAAUGUGACAUACUUGUUCUAUCACUUUAUCACGUCCAAGUCGAUCUUUUAGCUUUGUCUCUUUUUCAUGAUAAUAAGUGAUAAGAUUGAAGUUCUUAAAUUAAGCUAUGACUUUUUACCUCCGCUUAGCUUGACUUCUGAAGUUGGAGACUCGUUCUUUUGUAUUGUCUUUGUUGGUAUUUAAAUGAACUCGGAGUCCUCGACGAGUUUCUGAAGCGAAGUCAUUAUUCCUCUAUGACUCCAUCCAUGCAAUUGGAAGGCAAAAUCUUGUGAAAAUAUUUUCUAAGUUGAUUCAGUCCAUGAUCAACGUGCACAAAACGCAAAAUCUUGCGAAAAUCAAACCCGUCCUCACUCAUGACCUCACUUUAUUAAAUUACAGCUUGUCAUUGAAUUGAGUGUUGCCUUAAUUAAGCCAUCAAAUUAAUAAAGUGAUGGUCAUUAAGAAAUACACUUAGUUACUUCCUGAUGGUAAGAUUCAAUAAUAUUCUAAUUUAAAAAAAAAAAAAAAGAUCCAUAUACCUUUUUCUUGUGUAAUUUAAUUUUCAGUCCAGUCCACCCUCCCAUUUUAUCAUAAAAGUGUAUACAAACAUACGUUUUACUCAAUGUUUACUUAGAAACAAAUGGCGCGCGUACGAUUGCCGAUCUAGUACCACUCUCGUAUGCUUGGUGGGAUUCGGCUUCACCAAAUUUGUAGCAUAUAUUUUACUUUAAUGAGAAAAUCAAAUAAUUAUUGAACAAAUAAUUUUUUUUUCAAUAUACUUUCUUAAAAUGUAUGGAGUUGGUAAAGUGCAAAUUCAUUUUUUAGCCCUUUGACUCCUCCAAAAUCAAAACUAAAAUUAAUGGUCAGUUAAAUAAUGUUACUUGAAAAUCAUUUCCUAGCUAGAAUUUGUUUAAUUCUAUUAAUUUACAAUCGUUUUUCAUUUUACUUAAUUAAUUAAAGUGAAUUUAUUAUGUAUACAUUCUACAUACAUAAAGUUUUAAUAUUCAGUGUUGAAUUGAAUUGUACUAAAUUUUUUAUAAUUUUUUGUCAGACCUGCGUUUUUAACAGUUUAAUAGUAAUAUUGAUAGCACAUAAUAUACAGGAUUAAGAGAGAUCGAUUUCGACUGCUACAAGAUUUUUAGGAUUGCAUGCACAAGGGUUUAAAAACAAAGUGUACACUUAAUUACACCAAACGAGGGUGCAUUUUUAUGAUGAAAUAAAAACUACGUGCAGGGUUGUAAAAGUGGCUCCAUAAUUAGCGUACAUUAACAUUCAUCUAGCUACCACUUCCGAAAAUGAUACAUCAUAAGCCGAACAUUUUUCCAAUUUUGUUGUAGAUAAUAGUUCAAUCCCAAUUUCAUCAACUUGUUUUGAGAAAGCAGGCUUCUUGGGAGUAUUUGUAUUUGUGGUUUCAUUCUUGAGCAUUGAGGAAACUUCCAGCAUUGAAGGUCUAUCGUUUGGAUUCUCCUGGACACACAACAAAGCUAUUUCCACACAUCUCAUUAAUUUACAAGGGGAAUUUCUAUCAUCUAGGAAUGAAUCCACAAACUCCACGCCUUUGCCAACUUUCCACAACUCAUAUGCCUGAAAUUAUCAAGUACCAUCUUGUUACAUAAUUUAUACUUCUUAAUUAAGUGCGCAUAUGUGUACUCAGGGUUACUAUAGCCGAAGAAACUUACGUGCUCUAGAAUGCUUAAAUUUUCAUUGAUGCCACAUAACACUGAAAGCCUCUUUCCACUUAUGAUUUGUAGAAGUAAAACUCCGAAACUAAAAACGUCUGAUUUGGUAGAGUAUACACCUUGUCUGGCGUACUCAGGAGGAAUACAGCCUCUGCGUUCAAAAUAACCAAGUAUAUAUGAGUAAGGGAUUUUGCAAUUUAAUAAAUUUGUAAAACCCAUUUUAAAUUGUGGUAAAAGUCCAUUCUGCAUUUUAUUAAAGUGCUGAAUUCCUUAUUCGAAACCCAAUAUAUGUAUAACAAACAGAAGCUUGAGUAAAGGAUAUCAUUUAGAUGUAAUAUACUUACAUUGUUCCCACAACUUGUUCUGUAUUCGCUUCGAGACUCUCUUUUGCAAAAAUCCUAGCCAAACCAAAAUCUGAAAUUUUAGGUUUCAUACCUUCACCUAACAAAAUAUUACUGGCUUUCAAGUCUCGAUGAAUAAUAGUCAGUCUUGAAUAUUCCUGGAGGUAUAAAAGCCCUUGAGUUAUCCCUUCAAUGAUAUGAACACGUUUUUUCCAAUCCAAAAUAAGUCUUCUGAUGGGAUCUACAACAAAUAUAUAGUUUUGGACAAUAAGUGAUAUGCAAAUGAAUUUUAUACACAAUUAAUAUUAACUUGAUUUCAGAACAAACCAAAAAGGUAGCAAUCCAAGCUUUUGUAUGGCAUGUAUUCGUAGACCAGCAUCUGUUCCUCACUGUCAAUGCAAAAACCUAAAACUCUAAUAAGAUUUACAUGUUGGAGUUUUGCAGUAAGCAUAACCUCAUUCUUAAACUCCUCAAAUCCCUGUGCGGAUGAUUUCGAAAGUUUCUUCACUGCUAUCACCCCUCCACAGGGUAAUACACCCUGCAACCCAAAAAAAAAAACCACGUUCAUAUAAAGCUUUCACUAAUUAGAGAAGCUGAGAAAUGUUAGCCAAACAAUAUGCUACCCCCCAAAGUUGAGGGCACCAUUUUAAGUCCUUUAAGUCCCCAUGGACGCAAAAUGUAAAUCUCCUCUCACAGAAUAUGGAUAUGGGUAGAGGUAUCUUCCUAAAAUAUUAGUCGAAGUAGUUAUAUCCCUCUAGUGUGAGGUUAGAGGUCUCAUCUCUAAUAGGCAUAGAUUUUUAAAUUAUAUGUUUUGGGCCUCUGAAUUCUAUGACGAGUGUACAAAUUCAAACUUCCGAUAGGAUCCAAAUUGCAACAUUGUGGAUUGUAACAAAUUAAAAUAUAGGUAUACACACACACACACACAUAUGUUACCUUGUAAACAGGACCAUAUCCACCCUCCCCAAGCUUAUUUCUAAUUGAAAAUCCCUCGGUGGCCGCCUCAAUAUCAGCCAAACUAUAUACUCUGAGAUUAGGAACAUUUAUGUUAAAGUCUCCAGCUUCUGUUUCAUUAUUUGCUCUCGUGUUUGAUGCUUUAGCAGAAUCCUCUGUUCCUAACAUCAACCAAGAGUAAAUAUUAGAUAAUUAAUUGUAUGUCAGCCUCAGUGAUAUAUAUGUGUGUGUGUGUGUGUGUGUGUGUGUGUGUGUGUGUGUGUUUGUGUUUGUGUGUGUGAAUGAAAUGCAUGCUUAAUGAUAAUUGAUAGCUGAAGCUUGUUACCUUCUAUUAACUUGAGCCUUUUCCUCUGGUUGUAUUUAUAUGCACAACAGCCUAGAAGGAGAGUCAAAGCUGCCGCUGCAGUGGAAAUGAGUGCAAUGGACAGACACCGGUUGUUACUAUGUUCAUCUUUUUCAGCUGAAGCAGAAGUAAUCCUGUCUUUUUGUGCUGGAAAUAUGUAUAGUUCACCAAUUAAUAAUAACAAGCUUGAGAUACCAUAACAAUCAUUAUUAAUCAGAGAGAACAAUUAUUGCAUAUAUAAAUACCUGCAGCUUGAGAAAGCACCCAAUUAUGAUCAUCAAAAGGAACUCGCCACACAUAGUAACCAAGCAAUCUCUUCUCUUUGGCAUAGGCGAUCUUAGCUCUAACAGCCUCCACAUCAUCAAAACCAAACCAAACCGUCCCAGUGGAGAAGUAAUUCACCACAUAAGUUGAAUUGUACAUAACUUGAACAUUAGGAGCAUAGUUCUUGAUGUGAUUCUUGAUAGUCCUAUAGGUCACAAGGCCAUCAUUAGUCAAAGCUGGUCCUGCUGCUGCUGCUCCAAUACCAUUGUCUUCAGGUUUCACAAGCCUCCAUGCAUAGCCAUAGAAAGGCAAAGACAUAGCCAACUUAUCAGCCGAUAGCCCUCUCUCAAUCCAUGCCUUUAAAACCUGAUCGGUACUUUUAGCAAAGCCGCCGCUACUUGAGCCAUGGAGAGCCGCAGGUGGCGCAGUGAAGUUUGUUGACAAAGGCUUGUAGUAGUUAGCAGUAACUGCAUGAACCCAAUUCAAGUUUCGUUGCAUCGAAUUCAAAAGAUAUGAAUUCGCUGGUGGUGAAUAACGAAAUCUUGCGGUCAAAAUCAGCGGGGAUUGCUGGCGACUAGAGUUUAUUGCCUCUAAUUUUGUAGCAGCAAUUCGCCACUCGUCAAAAAGUAAACCAAUAUUGAACAUAUCGGUGCUUGUGUUGGGAGCUGUCCAAGCAAAAUCUAGGCCCUGAAAGCCAUAAAGCCUAGCUAUUCUUAUUGAAGAGUCGAUGAAAGAUUUUCUGUGAGAAGAAUUUCUCACCAUUGAAGAAUAUAUAGAAUAGUUUGUAUGUCUUCCUUCUCCAAUGGAGAGAAGCAUAGUGAUUGAUAGGUUCUGUUUCUUCACAGUGUCUGCGAAUUUGGCGAUUUGAUUUUCAUCGGAUGGUAAUGAUAAAGAUAGCUGGUAAGUGGUAGAAUUGAUAUCAGCAGAAGAGCAAAUAAGGUGAGUGAAGAGAUCAUAAUUUAUGCCCGAAAUGGUGGACACUUCGCUUAGAUUCAAGUAACCGACCCUAAUCCACGGUUUUGCUUUCGCUGGAUGAAGUUCUGAAUAGAGCAACGUGUGCAAGAUGAUGCUGAUAAUUAUGGAUGCCAUUUAAGACUUUGUUAGGAAUGGAAAUGAAUGCACACU
Molecule: long non-coding RNA, 27353 nt
Filed under: Citrus maxima (pomelo)
Lineage: Eukaryota; Viridiplantae; Streptophyta; Magnoliopsida; Sapindales; Rutaceae
Description: long non-coding RNA (CMAX_LNC003493)
Source: RNAcentral